Molecule: ribosomal RNA, 387 nt
Filed under: uncultured organism
Description: bacterial SSU rRNA
Rfam family: Bacterial small subunit ribosomal RNA
Source: RNAcentral
UGCCUAACACAUGCAAGUCGGAUGUGCCGCAAGGUGCAUGGCAGACGGGUGAGUAACGCGUGGGGAAUCUACCUCUUUGUGGGGAAUAACGCUCCGAAAGGAGUGGUAAUACCGCAUGAGACCGAGUGCUGGGAUGCAUUCGGUGAAACCUGGGGACCGUAAGGCCUGGGGCAAGGAGAGGAUCCUGCGUCUGAUUAGCUAGUUGGCGGGGUAAUGGCCCACCAAGGCAACGAUCAGUAGCCGGCCUGAGAGGGUGAUCGGCCACAUUGAAACUGAGACACGGUCCAAACUCCUACGGGAGGCAGCAGUGGGGAAUUUUGCGCAAUGGACGAAAGUCUGACGCUGCAACGCCGCGUGGGUGAUGAAGGUCUUCGGACUGUACUCCCC